This 107-nucleotide small RNA is filed under the name Marmota monax (woodchuck). The record is from RNAcentral. Lineage: Eukaryota; Metazoa; Chordata; Mammalia; Rodentia; Sciuridae.
GCUGGGUGUGAUGGCUCAAGCCUAUAACCCCAGCAGCUUGGGAGGCUGAGGCAGGAGGAUCACAAGUUCAAGACCAGCCUCAGCAACUUAGUGAGAACUUGUCUCUU